GGCUCACCUAGGCGACGAUCCCUAGCUGGUCUGAGAGGAUGACCAGCCACACUGGAACUGAGACACGGUCCAGACUCCUACGGGAGGCAGCAGUGGGGAAUAUUGCACAAUGGGCGCAAGCCUGAUGCAGCCAUGCCGCGUGUGUGAAGAAGGCCUUCGGGUUGUAAAGCACUUUCAGCGGGGAGGAAGGCGGUGAGGUUAAUAACCUCA
RNAcentral lists this ribosomal RNA (210 nucleotides) under Klebsiella pneumoniae. RNAcentral's name for it is "partial 16S ribosomal RNA". It matches the Rfam family "Bacterial small subunit ribosomal RNA", at positions 262 to 470 of the family's 1533-position model. The record is from RNAcentral. Lineage: Bacteria; Pseudomonadati; Pseudomonadota; Gammaproteobacteria; Enterobacterales; Enterobacteriaceae.